AACGUAGGUGGCGAGCGUUAUCCGGAUUUACUGGGCGUAAAGGGUGUGCAGGCGGGGUACCAAGUGGUGUAUGAAAUAGCCCGGCUUAACCGGGCGAGGUUAUGCCAGACUGGUACUCUGGAGUGCGAGAGAGGGGCGUGGAAUUCCGGGUGUAGUGGUGAAAUGCGUAGAGAUCCGGAGGAACCCCAGAGGCGAAGGCGGCGCCCUGGCUCGCAACUGACGCUCAGACACGACAGCAUGGGGAGCGAACGGG
RNAcentral lists this ribosomal RNA (253 nucleotides) under uncultured bacterium. RNAcentral's name for it is "partial 16S ribosomal RNA". It matches the Rfam family "Bacterial small subunit ribosomal RNA", at positions 524 to 776 of the family's 1533-position model. The record is from RNAcentral.